This is a non-coding RNA of Camellia sinensis, 1005 nucleotides long. Lineage: Eukaryota; Viridiplantae; Streptophyta; Magnoliopsida; Ericales; Theaceae. The record is from RefSeq and is a predicted model, not a curated record.
UAAUAUUGUUUACAUAUAGGCUAUGACAUCAUGAAUGCUUCCCUCAUUCUUUUCAUUUAUUAAAAAAAAAUAACUUUCCUCACUUUUUUAAUUGUUCAUAUGCAGAGAACAUGGGAACGGGCAAAAAUGGCAACUACAUUGGAUCAUGUCGUUGUGGCAACUGAUGAUGAAAAGAUUGCUGAAUGCUGUCGAGGAUUUGGUGCUGAUGUGAUAAUGACAUCAGAAUCUUGCCGAAACGGUACUGAGCGUUGAAAUGAAGCACUACAAAAGCUCAAGGAAAAAUAUGAUGUUGUCGUCAAUAUUCAAGGGGAUGAACCUCUAAUUGAUCCGGAAGUAAUAGAUGGGAUUGUCAAAGCACUGCAGGUAAAUUUGUUUCUAUUUGAUUUUCUCUCAAUGAAGUGUCACUAUGACCUCGUAAACAAAGAAUCUGUGCUGUUCUUUGCCUAAAUUCAGAAGUUCCCUGAUUGUUCAUAUCAGCAACAUGACAUGAAUUCUGAACAUACUGGAAUGUCACAGUAGAUUCCAUGCGUGACUGAUCUUAGGGUUCCAAAAGAGCACAGCAUCUGUUGUCUUGUCUGAGUUUCACAAAGGAAAGCCUUACUCAAAAUGGGAAUGGGUUUGAAUAUAGGCUGAAACAUGAGUUGAAGGGUCCUAGCUAUGGUCUUCUCGAUUCACCACUGCGAGAUUUUAAAUGCAUGUCCUUGACUGGGUUAUAAGAAGCCAUUUCUGUCUGGAGUUUUCUAAUUUACCUGGGAAUAAUUUCCACAAUGUGCCUUACAUCACUACUGCUUUGAUGGAUGCGAAGCUUGGCACGGAAGGGCGCAAGGAUCUUUUUGAUUGGCUAUCAAGGCAACUUAGUGGAUUAAGCAAUUUUCCUGAUGCUGUAAAUCUGAAUUAUGUAUUGUUUCAAUUUGUUAUGCUAGAUGGAUGUGACUUGUGAAUGAAAACUUAGAAUAGUUGUAUUGUGUCGAAUGUUAAUGAAUUAUGUAUUGUGUCGAAUGUUAA